AUGCAGAUCUUCGUGAAGACUCUCACCGGCAAGACCAUCACCCUUGAGGUCGAGUCGUCUGACACGAUCAACAAUGUCAAGGCCAAGAUCCAGGACAAGGAGGGAAUCCCUCCGGACCAGCAGCGCCUCAUCUUUGCUGGCAAGCAGCUAGAGGAUGGCCGCACCCUGGCUGACUACAACAUCCAGAAGGAGUCCUCGGACACCAUCGACAAUGUGAAGGCGAAGAUCCAGGACAAGGAGGGCAUUCCCCCGGACCAGCAGCGCCUCAUCUUCGCUGGCAAGCAGCUUGAGGAUGGCCGCACCCUGGCUGACUAUAACAUCCAGAAGGAGUCCACCCUCCACCUGGUGCUCAGGCUUCGUGGAGGCAUGCAGAUUUUUGUCAAGACGCUCACCGGCAAGACCAUCACCCUGGAGGUGGAGUCCUCGGACACCAUCGACAAUGUGAAGGCCAAGAUCCAGGACAAGGAGGGUAUCCCCCCGGACCAGCAGCGCCUCAUCUUUGCUGGCAAGCAGCUGGAGGAUGGCCGCACCCUGGCAGACUACAACAUCCAGAAGGAGUCUACCCUUCACCUGGUGCUCCGCCUGCGUGGUGGCCAGUAA
RNAcentral lists this ribosomal RNA (600 nucleotides) under Triticum aestivum (bread wheat). Its description in RNAcentral is "partial small subunit ribosomal RNA". The record is from RNAcentral. Lineage: Eukaryota; Viridiplantae; Streptophyta; Magnoliopsida; Poales; Poaceae.